RNAcentral lists this ribosomal RNA (38 nucleotides) under Carpacoce spermacocea. RNAcentral describes it as "partial 26S ribosomal RNA". The record is from RNAcentral. RNAcentral also lists the same sequence under 1 other name. Lineage: Eukaryota; Viridiplantae; Streptophyta; Magnoliopsida; Gentianales; Rubiaceae.
GCGACCCCAGGUCAGUCGGGAUUACCCGCUGAGUUUAA